This 84-nucleotide transfer RNA is filed under the name Felis catus (domestic cat). It matches the Rfam family "tRNA". Rfam says of the family: Transfer RNA (tRNA) molecules are approximately 80 nucleotides in length. Their secondary structure includes four short double-helical elements and three loops (D, anti-codon, and T loops). Further hydrogen bonds mediate the characteristic L-shaped molecular structure. tRNAs have two regions of fundamental functional importance: the anti-codon, which is responsible for specific mRNA codon recognition, and the 3' end, to which the tRNAs corresponding amino acid is attached (by aminoacyl-tRNA synthetases). tRNAs cope with the degeneracy of the genetic code in two manners: having more than one tRNA (with a specific anti-codon) for a particular amino acid; and 'wobble' base-pairing, i.e. permitting non-standard base-pairing at the 3rd anti-codon position. The record is from Rfam by way of RNAcentral. Lineage: Eukaryota; Metazoa; Chordata; Mammalia; Carnivora; Felidae.
GCCCGGGUGGCUCAGUUGAUUGAGCGUCUGACUUCAGCUCAGGUCAUGAUUUCGUAGUUCGUGAGUUCAAGCCCCACUUGGGCU